This is a long non-coding RNA of Canis lupus familiaris (dog), 2010 nucleotides long. RefSeq lists it as uncharacterized. The transcript is spliced from 3 exons. The record is from RefSeq and is a predicted model, not a curated record. Lineage: Eukaryota; Metazoa; Chordata; Mammalia; Carnivora; Canidae.
CUUGGACGUUUGGCUAUAAGACUCUAGAUUUUUUUUUUAAAGAUUUUAUUUGUUUAUUCACCAGAGAUAGAGAGACAGAAACAUAGGCAGAGGGAGAAGCAGGCUCCUUGCAGGGAGCCUAAUGUGGGACUUGAUUCCAGGACCCCAGGAUCACAACCUGAGCCAAAGGCAGACACUCAACCACUGAGCCACCCAGGUAUCCCAAGACUCUAUAUUUUAUCUAAACUUGUUCUGGCUGGCUUUCUCUAAUUCCAGUCCAUCAGGGGAAGAGGACACUACUUUGCUACUGCCAGAAUCCAUAUGAUGUUGCAAAUGAGUCCAGGCUGCUCUGCUCACUGCACAACAGGCCAAUGAGUUGAGAGAAGGCAUAUAUGCUGGAGAAGAGACCAUGCUGCCCUGGGUGCCUACAAUACCUAAGAUCCUCUUCUGAGAGGUUGCUAUGUUCAUAGCCUCAUUCUGUGAAACAAAACAAAAGAAAAAACCAGCUAGCUCAUCAGACAACCAUGCUUUUGUGUCACUUGACUCCUGAUAUUAUGGGUCAGUUGACUUAAUUGAACGGAUUAACCUUUGCAGCAAUAUGGAGAGUGUAAGUCCUGGCUAUUAGCCCAUGGAAUGACCUGUUACUAAACUGUGCCCAAUAAUGGUGGUCAAUAUUGGGUGGUGACUAGCUCUCUUUGGAGAAAAACUUAAGGGGGCAGAAAGCUAGAGACCCACUUGAGGCUUCAGAAGUCAUAGGAUAAUAAAAGCCUUAAGACAGUUACCUUGAGGCAAGAGAGGUUUAGAGGAGAGACCAAGGAUAGGCAGAAAUAGUGGUUGAUCUUAAUGAUCAACUCAAUCACAAGCUGAGAUAGAGUCCUUGUCACAGGAAGCAACAAAAAUUUGCUACUGGACAGACUUCUGUAGGUAUUCCUGUUGGUUGUUAAAAGCUGCUGUUGGUCCUCCACAGAUAUUGUAGGUCCUGAAUGAAUCACAGUUUAGUGGCCUGGCUGAGCAGUUGAUAAGAUGCAACUUCUUGCUCCUUUCUUCCCAUAUGUAUCUUUAAACCUACACCAACUAAGAUAACUUGAAAAUAUGGUUUCUAGAACUCAAAGAAGAUUGACCACUAAGAGCACCGCCAUGUUGAAAAUAAAUCAUGCAAGACAAAUAUGUCUGACAGUAUUUAGUGAAUCUAUUUGUCUAUUUAACUGAAGCUAUCAAUUUAUUUCGGAUUACUUCUAAUCCAAAGUAGAAGUAAAAGUAGUGCAUAUUCUCCAACUCACAUUGUUAGGAUUCAAAUACCUGAAAGGGAAUUAAGAAAAUGAAAAGAUAUGAUUUGAACUCAUUCAAUUCUGUUGUCAAUAAAACAAUUUCAAUUUGUCUGUAAUAUGUUCCCUACUUAAUAAAAAAGCAUAAGUGACAUCGAGUGGCAAAUUUGUCAGUAAAUCAUGUAUCUUAAGGAGGUAACAGUUAAACCAAAUCUACAGAAUCUUUUUUGCCCUUUUUUCAACUAUUCUAAAUCUGUUUUUUUUUUUUUUAACUUUAGAUUUUUCUGCUUCUCUUUUAAAAGAAUCCACCUGCAGCAAACACACUUGGGAGCUCAAUAAAUAAUAUGUAACAAAGUCUAAAGAGGCUUAUUCACAAAGAAGGGGCCCAAAUCCCUGAGCUUUAGAAUUAUUCUUUAUCUUUAUGCAGUUUCUGAGACCCUGAGGGUCUUUCCCUUCCUUUUCCCACAGUCUCCCUACUUAGCAUUCACAGAAGGUAUCUCUCCUUUAGGCUAGAUUAAUUUCAACAUAAAAAAAAAAUUUCACUUUUUUUUUUGGCAGGGUGGAGGAGAUAAGAAAAGGAGUUAAACUUGGAAGCGUGUACUUAUCACUAAUGCACUUUAUUGCCAGAGAGCAAUAUUUUUUAUUGCCAAAAAUAAUGUUAAAAUAAUUACACUUUAUGAUCUUAACAAUUUAUUUCUGUAUCCAUCAACUUUGAGUAUUCGUGUAUUGAAGUAAUAGUACUGACAUGAUCUUUUCCAUUAAUAAA